This 27-nucleotide transfer RNA is filed under the name Berkheyopsis echinus. Its description in RNAcentral is "Hirpicium echinus partial tRNA-His". Lineage: Eukaryota; Viridiplantae; Streptophyta; Magnoliopsida; Asterales; Asteraceae. The record is from RNAcentral.
GAUGUAGCCAAGUGGAUCAAGGCUGUG